CCAGUAUGUUCCAGAGAGCUUGCGUCCUCUCAUUGGCCUGUUCCAAUAUUCUCCAAAAGGCCGCAGAGCACCAUUGGUCUGUUCCAAUGUGCUUCUCCAAUUUUUAUUGGCUCUCCCGUUGCCAUCCCGUUGCUGUCCCAGCACCCUGCCACACUUCUGACUUACAGCAUUUGAAUGUUUUCCAAACUGGCAUCUCCAUAUUCCAGGCCAGCGCCUGUGAGGGUGAGUCCAUCCACAGGAGUGUUUAUAACAGAUGAGGUCACAGUAUCUUCAGUAUCUUCAUCCUCCCUCCCCAACCUAUAAAGACCUUCCUGACUGGAAAGCAGACUAGUGUGCACUCUCAGGGAGGGUUGUCAGUUUGACUACUGUAAAACUCCAAAAGAUGGGGCCGUUUCAGCCCGACCACUUGGGCUGCUUUCAGGAAAAAGCAUGCAUGAAGUGUCUCUCUGGAGAGAAGUUGCACUACACAAAAUCAGCCUGUCAGAUGACAUGGAAAUCAGUCACCUCUAUAUUAGAAAAAAACAAAGAAGACAUUCAAUUUAGUUCCACUACCCAUACAGCUGUGAAGGUUAACCAUCGUCUAGUACAUUAUGACUCAUCGGUUUCUGAUCCCAGGUUCACAGAUAGCGUUAAACUUCAUAUUUCCUAAUGUGACGGACGAGGGUUAAGCAGGAUGUGGGGACGAGG
Electrophorus electricus (electric eel) is the source of this 687-nucleotide long non-coding RNA. RefSeq lists it as uncharacterized. The record is from RefSeq and is a predicted model, not a curated record. NCBI's taxonomy places the organism in Eukaryota, Metazoa, Chordata, Actinopteri, Gymnotiformes, Gymnotidae.